Nelumbo nucifera (sacred lotus) is the source of this 823-nucleotide non-coding RNA. Lineage: Eukaryota; Viridiplantae; Streptophyta; Magnoliopsida; Proteales; Nelumbonaceae. The record is from RefSeq and is a predicted model, not a curated record.
CUUGGAGAAUGGGUGAGGAACAAACAAGGAAGAGGGGCAACAGGAGAACGAACCAGGAAGAGUAGCAGUUGAAGAGUAGCAACUGAAGAGGAAAGAACGAACCAGGAAGAGGGGCAACUGGAGAGGAACGACGAACCUAGGAAGAAGGAUUUCGGUCCCAUUGGAAAGGAACGAACAGAGGUACAACGAAGCCAGGAAGAACAAUUUCGACCAGUUGUUCAAAGUGCUUGUCGUGUUGUGUGCGAUGUCAAUGCAGUCUUCGGCAUCUAGAGGUUCCUACCUCAAAUACAAGAAUAAAAUAUGCAAAUGUGGCCAGAAAACUAUAGUACGAACCUCCGAUUCAGUAGACAACCCUCAUAGGCUAUACUUCUUUUGUGCUAGAUGAUUGGUAUGUGUAAUGGAAUUUUAUUUUCCUUCUUGAUUUGUGAAACUAUGAUUUAGAAAAAAGUGUAAUUUUUUUUCCUGGUGCAACCCUUCUGAUGAAGAUGAUGACCAAGAUAAUUAUCCAAUGGUGAUGGAGCAAUGAAAAGAGGUAACCAAUCCAGAAUUGAAGGUCAUGACGCUAGAAAUAGUGGCUUAGUUAUAUGAGAUGAAAGGAGUGCUGGCUAACUUGGGUGCAAAGAUGGAUGGACAAAAGUCAUCAUGCAAACAAACAAGUAAUAUGGCAGUGGUGGCUAUUUUCUUUAUCGUCAUUUGGGCCACCUUCAAGGUUCUCUAAUGUUACAAGUCUAAGAGAGUCUUGGUUUUGUGGAUAUGUAAUCGAACAUUUAGUUCUCUAAUGGCAGUGGUGGCUAUUUUCUCACGAAAUGAUGAGAAGGAAACA